UGGGGAAUAUUGGACAAUGGGCGAAAGCCUGAUCCAGCAAUGCCGCGUGAGUGAUGAAGGCCUUAGGGUUGUAAAGCUCUUUUACCCGGGAUGAUAAUGACAGUACCGGGAGAAUAAGCUCCGGCUAACUCCGUGCCAGCAGCCGCGGUAAUACGGAGGGAGCUAGCGUUAUUCGGAAUUACUGGGCGUAAAGCGCACGUAGGCGGCUUUGUAAGUUAGAGGUGAAAGCCUGGAGCUCAACUCCAGAAUUGCCUUUAAGACUGCAUCGCUUGAAUCCAGGAGAGGUGAGUGGAAUUCCGAGUGUAGAGGUGAAAUUCGUAGAUAUUCGGAAGAACACCAGUGGCGAAGGCGGCUCACUGGACUGGUAUUGACGCUGAGGUGCGAAAGCGUGGGGAGCAAACAGGAGUAGAUACCCUGGUAGUCCACGCCGUGAACGAUGAUAACUAGCUGUCGGGGCUCUUAGAGCUUCGGUGGCGCAGCUAACGCUAA
Molecule: ribosomal RNA, 489 nt
Filed under: uncultured Pseudomonadota bacterium
Lineage: Bacteria; Pseudomonadati; Pseudomonadota
Description: bacterial SSU rRNA
Rfam family: Bacterial small subunit ribosomal RNA
Source: RNAcentral